RNAcentral lists this ribosomal RNA (409 nucleotides) under Actinomycetes bacterium. Its description in RNAcentral is "Actinobacteria bacterium partial 16S ribosomal RNA". It matches the Rfam family "Bacterial small subunit ribosomal RNA", at positions 355 to 776 of the family's 1533-position model. The record is from RNAcentral. Lineage: Bacteria; Bacillati; Actinomycetota; Actinomycetes.
UGGGGAAUAUUGCACAAUGGGCGGAAGCCUGAUGCAGCGACGCCGCGUGGGGGAUGAAGGCCUUCGGGUUGUAAACUCCUUUCGACAGGGACGAAGCUUUUGUGACGGUACCUGUAUAAGAAGCACCGGCUAACUACGUGCCAGCAGCCGCGGUAAUACGUAGGGUGCGAGCGUUGUCCGGAAUUACUGGGCGUAAAGAGCUCGUAGGUGGUUUGUCGCGUCGUCUGUGAAAUUCCGGGGCUUAACUCCGGGCGUGCAGGCGAUACGGGCUGACUUGAUUGCUGUAGGGGAGACUGGAAUUCCUGGUGUAGCGGUGAAAUGCGCAGAUAUCAGGAGUAACACCGAUGGCGAAGGCAGGUCUCUGGGCAGUAACUGACGCUGAGGAGCGAAAGCAUGGGUAGCGAACAGG